Molecule: unclassified non-coding RNA, 328 nt
Filed under: plant metagenome
Description: partial contains 5.8S ribosomal RNA, internal transcribed spacer 2, and large subunit ribosomal RNA
Rfam family: 5.8S ribosomal RNA (bases 1-104)
Source: RNAcentral
GAAAUGCGAUAAGUAAUGUGAAUUGCAGAAUUCCGUGAAUCAUCGAAUCUUUGAACGCACAUUGCGCCCUCUGGUAUUCCGGGGGCAUGCCUGUCCGAGCGUCAUUGCGAACCCCUCAAGCACGGCUUGUGUGAUGGGCCCUCCCGCGUCUUGGUCGUCAAGACGGGCCCGAAAUGCAGUGGCGGCUUCGCGGUUAUCCGAUCAGCCAGAGUGUAUGGGGACUCUCUCUCUUGUCACACGCCCGCGGCGCGGACCGACGCCUGUCGACCUUUAUUCAUCUUCUCUCGGUUGACCUCGGAUCAGGUAGGGAUACCCGCUGAACUUAAGC